This 511-nucleotide ribosomal RNA is filed under the name uncultured bacterium. RNAcentral describes it as "bacterial SSU rRNA". It matches the Rfam family "Bacterial small subunit ribosomal RNA", at positions 15 to 518 of the family's 1533-position model. The record is from RNAcentral.
GAUUAUGCUCAGGAUGAACGCUAGCUACAGGCUUAACACAUGCAAGUCGAGGGCAGCAUGGGAUUAGCUUGCUAAUCUUGAUGGCGACCGGCGCACGGGUGAGUAACGCGUAUCCAACCUUCCCCCUACUCAGGCAUAGCCCGGUGAAAACCGGAUUAACUCCUGAUAGUUUCACUAGAUGGCAUCUGACGGUGAAUAAAGCUCAGCGGUAAGGGAUGGGGAUGCGUCUGAUUAGCUUGUUGGCGGGGUAACGGCCCACCAAGGCAACGAUCAGUAGGGGUUCUGAGAGGAAGGUCCCCCGCAUUGGAACUGAGACACGGUCCAAACUCCUACGGGAGGCAGCAGUGAGGAAUAUUGGUCAAUGGGCGCGAGCCUGAACCAGCCAAGUAGCGUGCAGGAAGACGGCCCUAUGGGUUGUAAACUGCUUUUGUGCGGGAAUAAAGUCAGGGACGUGUCCCUGUUUGCAUGUACCGCAAGAAUAAGGACCGGCUAAUUCCGUGCCAGCCGCUGC